Molecule: ribosomal RNA, 464 nt
Filed under: uncultured bacterium
Lineage: Bacteria
Description: bacterial SSU rRNA
Rfam family: Bacterial small subunit ribosomal RNA
Source: RNAcentral
UCCAGACUCCUACGGGAGGCAGCAGUGAGGAAUAUUGGUCAAUGGCCGAGAGGCUGAACCAGCCAAGUCGCGUGAGGGAUGACGGCCCUACGGGUUGUAAACCUCUUUUGCCGGGGAGCAAAGAGCGGGACGCGUCCCGCCUCGAGAGUACCCGGAGAAAAAGCAUCGGCUAACUCCGUGCCAGCAGCCGCGGUAAUACGGAGGAUGCGAGCGUUAUCCGGAUUUAUUGGGUUUAAAGGGUGCGCAGGCGGAAGCGCAAGUCAGCGGUAAAAUCGCGGGGCUCAACCUCGCUCCGCCGUUGAAACUGGUUUUCUCAAGUGAGCGAGAAGUAUGCGGAAUGCGUGGUGUAGCGGUGAAAUGCAUAGAUAUCACGCAGAACUCCGAUUGCGAAGGCAGCAUACCGGCGCUCAACUGACGCUCAUGCACGAAAGUGUGGGUAUCGAACAGGAUUAGAUACCCCAGUA